AUCUCCUGUGUUCUUAUAUAUCUUUUGCAGCUCUUCUCGUCGGAGAGAAGGAGGAGCGAAAGAAGCCCGCGAAAUUAUUGCGCGUUCGGGUUUCGCGAUCGCGUCACGAUAUCGAUACUUAAUAGUUCGUAUUUUGAAACGUUUGUUCUUCGAUCAGAUUUUAAGUCGGGUUAGGGAGAGGAGGGAGAGAGAGAGAGAGAGAGAGAGAGAGAGAGAAAGAGAGAGGCUAUCGUUCUGUGAGUGUCACGUGAUUCGCGCCCACGACGUGAAGAUGCAGUGACUGUGUCGGCCGUGAAGCUGUCUGUCAUUCGGAGACGCGUUAUCAUCGGUCAAGUACGACGCACGAGAAAGGACAGCCCCGACAUAUUACGCAAUAUAUUAUCACAGAUCAAAGCUCGAGAUUUUCGUGUGAUUGUUCGUUUCGGGAGAUUCGGGAUUUUCGUGUAAUUGUUCGUUUCGGGAGAUUCGGGAUUUUCGUGAUCUUCAUUAUUCGUUUCGUAGUACGAACGUUCGAGUGGAUAAAUAUUACGUCGUGUUUAUUCGGAAGACUUUCGCGAGUUGCUUUUGUAUGUUGCUUUACACGAACUCUCGAAAGUUACGGGACGAUGCAUUAAAUUAUUCCAAUGUGAUCGCGCGAACCGCGUGAAGUGAGUCGCUCUGUCACCGCGUCUGGCGUCCAUAUUCGAAUUCCCGCCGUGUUUGAACGCCAGGAUCGCGCACGCUCCGGUAAUUUUGCGGAAGCAGCGAUUGUGAAAUUCGCGAGUGUGCAAUCGGUUGACGUGAGAAUUGCCAAAGGAUCUCCAGGAUGCGUCUGCAUGGGACGAGAACGUCGCGCAAGGAGGAGGAUGAUCUGACCGAUCAUGAAGCAGCGUGCUGUGGACAUCGCUAAAGGGUUCGUUUGCGACAACAUCCAGUCAACAAAUUGGGAUAUAUAUUAUGGAGAUGCGGACAGAAAGACCACGAACUGCCGGUCGAAUAGCACCAACUGGAAGAGUAACACCAACGGUACAUCAAACUAGUGGAGGUCGAAGAAAAGCUAUACCAGUUCCACCUCCGAGAGUGCCGACUCCUAUGCCCGUUGCGAAUAAUAAUCAACAAAAGAACAAUGCCAACGUCGUCGUCCCGCCCACCGUAUCAGCCGUGUCGAAGAAAGAGCCACACGAAAACAUCGCCCGGAUAGCGAAGCGGUACCUCGACGAUAACAUGCAGCAGGCGUGGAUCAAUCCUCGUCUAAUAUCGAUGAUAAAUAUGGAAGCAGUGACAUCGACCGACUACGAUUCCACAAAUCUCAGUAGAAACUUUAAUCAAGUUGGCUUCAACACAUAUAAUUACUCACAAUUCGAGGAGAAAUAUAAACCGCGACAAUUCUUCAAGUAUGGCGAUGAGUAUCUCGAGUACGGACACAAACUCGGUGCCAAUGAAAGAUACGCGCGAAUGAAGUAUCAGGACGGCUCGAGGCUCGAUCAACGAUAUUCACGCAGUCAAUCUCAGCCGGAACGGCAACACCAUCUGUACCAGGAGAUACGCUCCAAAUCUCAGGAUUCUCGCGAGCUUACAUUUUACCAGAUAAAUCCGCCUCCGAAAACAGAGAAUCCACGACAACAUGACAAGUCGCAAAAGUUGAAGAAAGAGCUGACAUUCUACGAGAUUGACGGACCACCAUCCUGUCAGGAGAAGAGGGAGAAAUCCGAGAUGUGCAAAGAGCGUGCCGACAAAGGGACUAAAUCUCACGACAAGUCCCACGCUGGUGGUCAGGAGAAGUCGCAAACCGCAAAGCACGGCAGACAGAGUCACCAGGAGCAGCAGAAAACACUGGCGAACGCGUCGGAUCACCGUCAGCUGAACCGAUCGCAGUCGGAUCUCACGGAGUGCCAGCUGCCGAAUUACUGCGGUCAUCGGAAUAAUCCAUACAUUGAUCCGCCCAAGUAUCGACAGUUUGACAGACCACCGCGCUAUCAAGAGGCUCCGCCGAGAGUAGUGGAACCACCGCCCAAGUAUCAUGCCGAUCCGCCUAAGUACGUCGAAGUGUCCAAACGGCAAGACGACUCUAAGAAGAUCCAGGAGGAGAAGGGGAGACGACAAGGUGGUAGUGGCGGCGGGGGUGGCAGCAUCAGCGGUGGCGGUGGCAGUGGCGGUAAUUCCAGUGGGGGAAGAGGGAACACCGGCACUCAUGGCGCCGAGACGCCCUCUAAUCUGGCCAGUAUCACGCCGACCGCGCGAGAAGCAACACGUGCCCCGAUCGCGCGACAACGAAUUUUUCACAAAACGUGCGACGUGCGCAACAACAGUAGCAAUAACAACAAUAACAAUAGCAAGGAGAACUUGCUACAGGAGACUGGCGAUGAUUGCGACGCAACGUUAUCCUCGCAUUGUUACGCCGAGCCGCUGAAAAAUCAUCAUCGUCAUCAUCAGCAGCAGCAGACCCGCGGGAUCAACGGUAGCAACAUCGCUAGCGGUGUCAUCAUCGGUAAUGUUUUUUCGGACAGUGGCAGUGACGGCUCGUGCGGCGAGGUAACAACGAGCGACAAAUACAAGGGUACCGGGUCAGAAUCGAAUCGGAACAGCAGCGGCGACGCGAUUCAAGGUCGUCCGAGUGAGAGAUCCAUGCUGAAGAUCGAGAAGCUGUCGGGAAAGACCGUUUUACACAGCGGCGGCGGUGAGUCUGCAGCGGCUGGCAAGUGCGGCGCGGAUAGGAUGAAGCCGGCCUCACAGGAGGCCGGCUACAACAAGCACGAGGUCAGCAAGGCCAAGAGCCACGAUGUCGGCCACGGUUACAAGGUCGAGAACCUGCGUUAUUACGGAGAGCUGAAGGGUUACGCCGAUUUUAAGGUUUACGGUACCGUUGACAAGCAGCCGGUGUCCGCGUUGAUAUCCGCGCACGAGAAAUCGCACCUUCUCCACGCACCUUCCUCGUGCGAAAAGGGUGAUAAGUGUCACAAGAUGCUGUCCUCGUCCGCGCAAGGAUACGGUCUGGGCAAGAUCGCUCAGCAACAGCCGGAGAAGAGUCACUACAGCGGAGAUCAUUACUACCACAGAUCAUCGCAUUCGAAACCGCCGAGCGCGUAUCAAGUGUACCAGGAGACCAAGUACUCAUACAACGUGAGCGGAGUGCCUGGGACACCGGCGCAGGCUAGCGCAGCCGCAGCGUUCUUCGCAAGAGCAGCGCAGAAAUUGAAUCUAUCGUCGAGCCCGCAUCGGAGACGACGUUCCGGCGACGAAAACAUCGGAUCUGACGAGCUGCCCAUUUUUCCCAAUGGAUACGCCGCGCUCCUUCUCAAGUCACCACCUCCGGCACCGCCUGCUCUUCUCAGGAGGAUAGGUGUAAAGGAGCUCACCGGAGUCGGGAAGGUAAAAGUCAUGCUGAGGGUAUCACCUGGAGAUGGAGGCAGCUUCUUUAAUGCGGAUAAACGGAAGAAGCAAGUUACCUUAGUGGAUCCAGCGUCCGGUCAAUCUUCAUCGGCAGAAGAUCGACGACCUACUGUGGCAGCGCCGAAAAUGUUCGCAUUCGACGCUAUCUUUACCGAGGAAGAUUCCCAGACUGAGAUCUGUUCGAGCGCUCUUACGGAUGUAAUUCACGCGGUCAUCAAUGGAACAGACGGUUGUCUGUUUUGUUUUGGACAUGCUGGCUUAGGCAAGUCUCACACUAUGUUGGGAACUCCGGAAGCUGGUCAUACACUCGGCGCAAUUCCUUGCGCCAUUGCGUGGCUCUUCCGAGGAAUUUCUGAACAACGACAAAGAACCGGUGCUAGAUUUAGCGUCAGGGUAAGCUGCGUAGAAUUGACCACCGGUCAGCAACAAUUGAGAGACCUGCUUGCAGCGCACGCAAACGAUUCGGAACAGUCGCCGGCCGUAUACCUCAGGGACGAUCCACUGUUUGGUACCCUUCAAUUGCAGCAGCAUAGCGAGCUCCGCGCGCCUACGGCAGAACGCGCAGCUUUCUACCUCGAUGCAGCAGUCGCCGGCCGUCAACGGGAGGACGGCGACGCGCAUAUGCUCUACACGUUGCACGUGUACCAAUACAGCGUCGCCGGCAAGGGCGGAGUUGCCGGUGGCAGAAGUCGACUGCAUCUGAUGGAUCUGGGAAAUUCGGACCGUGGCAAGUCUUCGGGUGGAAUUCCCCUCUCUGGCCUGGGCAACAUUCUUCUCGCGAUCUUUAACGGCCAGAAGCACUUGCCGUACAAGGAACACAAAUUGACACAACUGCUCAAGGAGUGCCUCGGCUCUCUGACCUGCCACGCGGCCAUGAUAGCGCACGUGUCUCCCAAUGCCCAGCACUAUACAGAGACGCUCACUACCGUUCAACUAGCGUCGAGAAUCCAUCGGAUGCGACGUCGGAAGAUUAAGUUCGUCGGCGGCGGCACGCAAGGUACCGGGAGCGGCGGCAGUUCCGGCGAGGAGGCGGCUCGGCAGAACAGCGAGUGCGAUCCCAGCUCGAGUGAUCUAUCCGCCGACACGGUGAUUUAUGUCGGGCCGAGCGCCGACGAUGCCACCGAUGGCGAACACCCGCCCGUUUACAUACCAAGCUUGAAUUCGGGCGACAAUCGUUGCGCGAUGGGCCGCGUGCUUCGCGGUUCCGCCGCCGAGAGACCGAGCAAAGUCCCCGAGGAACGUAGUCCGGCACAUAAAUCCAAGACGGUGAAGACGCUGACGCAGACCGCGUCGAAGCAGACAUCGCCGGCACAUAGCGUGACCCCGAAAGCGAGCCCCGCCAGGAAGAAUUCCUCGUCGAAAAGCGCGUCCUCAGCGUCCAAGAUCAACGACUCGCCCAGUAGUAAGAUCCCGAUAGCGGCGCCGAGCGGCGGUUCCGACGAACAGUGGAUAGAUGGUCCGAGAAUCUCCAAGUCGAAGGUCGCGGAAGCCAGACACAUGCUGAAAGAUUCGCAUCAUAAACGAGAGACAUGGAUCGACGGGCCAAUGCAAUUGACCAGCGCGCCAGCGCUGCAAUUGCACACUCAUCAGCAUGCGUCUUCCGGUUACGGUUUCAUGGACAGCCACAAGAAAAGCAUGAUUAGAAAGUGGGUGGAAAAUCAAUCGUCGCAGAUACAGCGAGCGAAACACGUCGGGUCGCGGCUCGACUCCUCCAAGAUGUCUUCAUCCGGCCAGUCAUCCGGCCAGUUUAAAGAACUGACACAGUUCAAAACCUGCAGCGGUAUGGAGGAUGACGAUACGUCAUUGUCCACGGAGAGUGAUAGCUUGAAAGCGAACGAGAUCGAGGAUAUAACCGAAAAAUUGAGCGCCAAGCUGAAUCUGCUUAACGUUAAAUCCAAUACGGAUUCAGGGUUAGAUUUGACAGCGAGUCCGGUGAUGGAUGACAAUGUCGAAAAGGGGAAGCUCGAUCUGCCAGAUGACGAAGAUGACGAUGAAGAAAUUGUCGUACCUCCACCGCUACCGUUGAUCGAACCACUCAGUAACGGAGUAAGCCGAGAAGUCUCCAUGGAAAGUCUGAAUCUGUCGCAUAAGGAUAUCGUUCUACCUUCGAGACAUUCGUUGUCUUCGGAGGACGAAAUUUUAGAGAUUGUCGAGGAAGAUUUGGAACCAGUACCUAUGCAAGACUCGUGUUUACAAGUGACUGAAGAGGACAUCGCGCUCUGUAUGGGUGAAAAUCUUCUGCUUGAGAGCGAUCAAGAAGAACAUCCUCUAAGAAUUCUUAGCCAAGAAAAUCUCACUGUAGUGUCAACUUUCACAGACUCUAUGUCGGUGAUGUCAGACACGGAGAGAUAUAGACCGCAUUAUCCGCCGCCAGUUGGUGCCGGUGUUCUACCUAGGCCAUACUUUGACCACGAGGACUUUCUCGAGCAAGAGACCAGGCACAAAUUCGAUCAGUUGGCCCGCCUCCAUGAGCUCUACCAAAGCAAACUCGCUCUCGCCAACGUUUCCAACUCCGUGACUUACCAGAGAGAAAACUCUUCCACCGUCAACGUACGAGAUGCUCCAUCAGCGACCGUCUUCCGUCCGCCGUCUCGCUGUCAAUCCUUGUCCCUUUCGGAUGUCUUAUUCAACGACAACGCAAGCAAUCACGGCAGCAUCUAUAGUGAACCUGCAUACAUAGCCGGCAAGCCCGAUCAAGAAAAAAUCUGCGAUAAUUGUCGUCAGAGCAUGUCUAGGCCUGCCACGGCCUCUUAUUGGUAUCCCAGUAGCGUUGCCCAUCUCGCCAGUCCUAGAAGGUACUGUGGCAAGUUGGGCGACUGCAACAUCUCGAGUCUGAGGCAUCCGGAUGGCGCUUCGAAUCCCAAUCUGAAGGAGGAGAUCGAAAGGAUACCCGGAAACGGAGCAUCCGGUUCGGAUCCCGAAGAGGAAUAUAUAGAGGCGAAGAAGCUAUUCACGGCUGCCGAAAGGUCCGAGAGAACGGUAACAGGAAAAUCCGACAUCGAAGAGGAUCUGAAGAUUCAAGGCGGCACUUCCUUGCAAUUGUCGAUGCCGUCUCCGGCGCCUUCCUCCGGACGAAUGCAACGCAAGAUCCUUAGCCUCGGCUCCUCGUUUGGUCUCAACAAGGAGAGCUCCGAUUCCGGUGCGGAUACAACGCCACGAGCGGCUAAACUAUCACCGGCCACACUAUCCAGACAUCGUGCUGAAAGCUCCGGUUAUGACAGUAUCGUUAGAGAUAGCGAGACGAGCAGUAUCACUAGCGACUCGUCCCGACAAACUGGCGCGUUACAGGAACAUCAAGGUAAUCGUGGCGCGCUGGGAGUUCUAACUUCGACGUUGUGCGGGUGUUUCAGCGGUGGAACAGCGGGCGGCAGGGUACGAGCUUCGGCGGUCGCGGGCCCACUGCCGGGCUCAACCGGGGCCGCCCGCGGCGUCGGCGAUUCUCGCGUAUACAGGCGAGGACGUAGACAUCCUGGACAGGCGCGCGCGGGUGCGCUCGAAUCCACGUGGAAUGAUGUCCAGGAUACACAGCCUGCGCCUGCGCCAGCGCCUUCUUAGGCUGGAGCUACGCGACGCCAAAAGACGCCUAAUGGUGCCCGACACUCGCUGGGACUAUAAUCUGUACGUAGAAGACAGCAUGGACUGGCGAAAUCCGUCAUUUUUGGAAGCUCUGACGGUCGAGACAUGUAUUCUACAGAAAAGAGUGGAGGCUUGUAAGAGCCACGUUCUUCUGGUCACCUGCUUCGACUCCUGUCCUCAGCAGCCGACAACCGAGCAGCCGACAGCCGAGAUUAACAUCACCUA
This 7170-nucleotide unclassified non-coding RNA is filed under the name Camponotus floridanus (Florida carpenter ant). RNAcentral describes it as "uncharacterized LOC105258023, transcript variant X4". Lineage: Eukaryota; Metazoa; Arthropoda; Insecta; Hymenoptera; Formicidae. The record is from RNAcentral.